GACGAACGCUGGCGGCAUGCCUAACACAUGCAAGUCGAACGAGACCUUCGGGUCUAGUGGCGCACGGGUGCGUAACGCGUGGGAAUCUGCCCUUGGGUUCGGAAUAACUCAGAGAAAUUUGAGCUAAUACCGGAUGAUGACGUAAGUCCAAAGAUUUAUCGCCCAAGGAUGAGCCCGCGUAGGAUUAGCUAGUUGGUGAGGUAAAGGCUCACCAAGGCGACGAUCCUUAGCNGGUCUGAGAGGAUGAUCAGCCACACUGGGA
This 262-nucleotide ribosomal RNA is filed under the name uncultured bacterium. RNAcentral describes it as "partial 16S ribosomal RNA". It matches the Rfam family "Bacterial small subunit ribosomal RNA", at positions 28 to 318 of the family's 1533-position model. The record is from RNAcentral.